Small nucleolar RNA from Diospyros lotus (date-plum), 93 nucleotides. RefSeq annotates it as small nucleolar RNA snoR109. The transcript has a single exon. The record is from RefSeq and is a predicted model, not a curated record. Lineage: Eukaryota; Viridiplantae; Streptophyta; Magnoliopsida; Ericales; Ebenaceae.
CGGGUGUACCUAUAUACAUCUCCUCAUUUAAGAAUAGAGGCCGGUGGUUGUUUGUUUCCGUCGAUGUAUCUGCUUACUGAGCUUCUCGCAUUU